GCCUUGUUGGCUAAGUGGUAUAGCGUCUCACUAGUAUAUUCUGGUGUCAUGAGAAGAUCGGCGGUUCGAUUCCGCCACGAGGCA
This 84-nucleotide transfer RNA is filed under the name Colletotrichum zoysiae. RNAcentral's name for it is "tRNA-Thr". It matches the Rfam family "tRNA". From Rfam's summary of the family: Transfer RNA (tRNA) molecules are approximately 80 nucleotides in length. Their secondary structure includes four short double-helical elements and three loops (D, anti-codon, and T loops). Further hydrogen bonds mediate the characteristic L-shaped molecular structure. tRNAs have two regions of fundamental functional importance: the anti-codon, which is responsible for specific mRNA codon recognition, and the 3' end, to which the tRNAs corresponding amino acid is attached (by aminoacyl-tRNA synthetases). tRNAs cope with the degeneracy of the genetic code in two manners: having more than one tRNA (with a specific anti-codon) for a particular amino acid; and 'wobble' base-pairing, i.e. permitting non-standard base-pairing at the 3rd anti-codon position. Lineage: Eukaryota; Fungi; Ascomycota; Sordariomycetes; Glomerellales; Glomerellaceae. The record is from RNAcentral.